UUUUUCCACCACUUUGUGUAUGCUUUGUGCUAAAGAUUGAAAUUAGUCAACAAGGAUCCAACGAAAGUAUGUUGAAGGCACUUUUUACAUUUUCUCUAGGGACAGUGUUUGGGAUAUUUCUUUGUGGGAGGACACAAAAUUGUUUACAGUGUGGAGGGCUUUCCUCUAAGAAUGAUGCUAACAAGAAAGUCCUUGCUAUCCGAUCCUCAGUGGAGACAAAAAAGCCAGAAUGAUGAAUACAUAUCCCAUAUUUUAAUGAAAAUCUUUACAUAUCGAAUUUACAGGANCAGGAUUUAAAUUAUCUAUGAAGUUCUAUGGUUACAAUUGAUAUUGGUAUAUAGAUAGGGUCAGGGAAAGAGAUAUAAUAUAUAGAUUGAGAUUGAACUUCUAACUCAUAAUUAUUAAUUAUGCUUGUAUUAUUCAAGAAUUACAUGCUGGAUUUAUAAUGUUAAGAUUGUGAAUUAUGUUUAUAGCGUGUUUUUGCUUAUGCGUUAGGCAUUGAAAAUAAGAU
This 511-nucleotide long non-coding RNA is filed under the name Vigna radiata. Its description in RNAcentral is "long non-coding RNA (VRAD_LNC015387)". The record is from RNAcentral. Lineage: Eukaryota; Viridiplantae; Streptophyta; Magnoliopsida; Fabales; Fabaceae.